RNAcentral lists this unclassified non-coding RNA (302 nucleotides) under fungal sp. RNAcentral's name for it is "partial internal transcribed spacer region". The stretch from base 1 to 46 matches the Rfam family "Eukaryotic small subunit ribosomal RNA", at positions 1786 to 1831 of the family's 1831-position model. The record is from RNAcentral. Lineage: Eukaryota; Fungi.
AAGUCGUAACAAGGUUUCCGUAGGUGAACCUGCGGAAGGAUCAUUAACACUUUUUUUCUUUAUAGUGUGUUUGGUGUUUUUUCUUUUGAAAAAGCCACUGACCACUAUAAUAUCCUACCCACACUAUGGAUGAAUUAUGUUUCUUUUUCUUUUUUCGAAAGAAAGAAAGAAAGAAAACAUUUUCUUUUUCAUUAUUUUUUUUAACCCCAAACACCACAAAAAAUUAUUACUAUGCAAUAGACUAAUAUUAUACGACAAAAAAAGCUAAGAAACAACUCUUAACAACGGAUAUCUUGGCUCUC